RNAcentral lists this ribosomal RNA (468 nucleotides) under uncultured bacterium. RNAcentral's name for it is "partial 16S ribosomal RNA". It matches the Rfam family "Bacterial small subunit ribosomal RNA", at positions 28 to 507 of the family's 1533-position model. The record is from RNAcentral.
GACGAACGCUGGCGGCGUGCUUAACACAUGCAAGUCGAACGGAAAGGCCCUGCUUUUGUGGGGUGCUCGCGUGGCGAACGGGUGAGUAACACGUGAGUAACCUGCCCUUUACUUUGGGAUAACUUCAGGAAACUGGUGCUACUACCUGCUAGGAGCUCCUGCUGCAUGGUGGGGGUUGGAAAGUUUCGGCGGUUGGGGAUGGACUCGCGGCUUAUGAGCUUGUUGGUGGGGUAGUGGCUUACCAAGGCUUUGACGGGUAGCCGGCCUGAGAGGGUGACCGGCCACAUUGGGACUGAGAUACGGCCCAGACUCCUACGGGAGGCAGCAGGGGGGAAUAUUGCACAAUGGGCGGAAGCGUGAUGCAGAAACGUCGCGAGCGGGAUGAAGGUCUUCGGGGGGUAAACCGCUUUCGCCUGUGACGAAGCGCGAGUGACGGUAAUGGGUAAAGAAGCACCGGCUAACUACGUG